GGUUGUGGCUCAGUGGUAGAGGACUUGUCUAGCAUGCAUGAGGCAUUAGGUUCAAUUCCUGACACCA
Molecule: transfer RNA, 67 nt
Filed under: Marmota monax (woodchuck)
Lineage: Eukaryota; Metazoa; Chordata; Mammalia; Rodentia; Sciuridae
Description: tRNA.Ala
Rfam family: tRNA
About the family: Transfer RNA (tRNA) molecules are approximately 80 nucleotides in length.
Source: RNAcentral